GGUUGUCGUUUGUUGAUGCGGCUCAUAGGUGUUUCUCCUUUCUCAUGUUGUAGAUAAGACUUUUGUUUUUUACAUUUUUGGUUCCUUUAAAUAGCUUGCUGUUUGGUGUACAAAAUGUAAGCCUUGGCUCUAUGUUGAAGGCUGUAUGUUGACCUAUAUUUUUUUUUUAUUCAUUGUGACUUGGAUUGAGAGUUGUGUCAUUGGC
This 205-nucleotide long non-coding RNA is filed under the name Mytilus galloprovincialis (Mediterranean mussel). Lineage: Eukaryota; Metazoa; Mollusca; Bivalvia; Mytilida; Mytilidae. The record is from RNAcentral.